RNAcentral lists this ribosomal RNA (479 nucleotides) under Exiguobacterium mexicanum. Its description in RNAcentral is "bacterial SSU rRNA". It matches the Rfam family "Bacterial small subunit ribosomal RNA", at positions 952 to 1430 of the family's 1533-position model. The record is from RNAcentral. Lineage: Bacteria; Bacillati; Bacillota; Bacilli; Caryophanales.
CGAAGCAACGCGAAGAACCUUACCAACUCUUGACAUCCCCCUGACCGGUACAGAGAUGUACCUUGCCCUUCGGGGGCAGGGGUCACAGGUGGCGCAUGGUUGUUGUCAGCUCGUCUCGUGAGAUGUUGUGUUAAGUCCCGCAACGAGCGCACCCCUUCUCGUUAGUUGCCAGCAUUUGGUUGGGCACUCUAGGGAGACUGCCGGUGACAAACCGGAGGAAGGUGGGGAUGACGUCAAAUCAUCAUGCCCCUUAUGAGUUGGGCUACACACGUGCUACAAUGGCCGGUACAAAGGGCAGCGAAGCCGCGAGGUGGAGCCAAUCCCAGAAAGCCGUUCUCAGUUCGGAUUGCAGGCUGCAACUCGCCCGCAUGAAGUCGGAAUCGCUAGUAAUCGCAGGUCAGCAUACUGCGGUGAAUACGUUCCCGGGUCUUGUACACACCGCCCGUCCCACCCCGAGAGUUUGCAACACCCGAAGUCGG